CCUACGGGAGGCAGCAGUGAGGAAUAUUGGUCAAUGGGCGCGAGCCUGAACCAGCCAAGUAGCGUGAAGGAUGACUGCCCUACGGGUUGUAAACUUCUUUUAUAAAGGAAUAAACUGAGGCACGUGUGCCUUUUUGUAUGUUCUUUAUGAAUAAAGAUCGGCUAACUCCGUUCCAGCAGCCGCGGUAAUACGGAGGAUCCGAGCGUUUUCCGGAUUUAUUGGGUUUAAAGGGAGCGUAGAUGGGUUGUUAAGUCAGUUGUGAAAGUUUGCGGCUCAACCGUAAAAUUGCAAUUGAUACUGGCGGUCUUGAGUACAGUUGAGGUAGGCGGAAUGCGUGGUGUAGCGGUGAAAUGCUUAGAUAUCACGAAGAACCCCGAUUGCGAAGGCAGCUUACUAACCUGUGACUGACAUUGAGGCACGAAAGUGUGGGUAUCAAACAGGAUUAGAUACCCGUGUAGUC
Molecule: ribosomal RNA, 460 nt
Filed under: uncultured bacterium
Lineage: Bacteria
Description: partial 16S ribosomal RNA
Rfam family: Bacterial small subunit ribosomal RNA
Source: RNAcentral